CAACGGAUUGAAAAUCCGUGUGUCCCCAGUUCGAUCCUGGGUCUCGCCACCA
RNAcentral lists this transfer RNA (52 nucleotides) under Acinetobacter baumannii PR07. RNAcentral describes it as "tRNA-Ser". It matches the Rfam family "tRNA", at positions 24 to 71 of the family's 71-position model. Rfam says of the family: Transfer RNA (tRNA) molecules are approximately 80 nucleotides in length. Their secondary structure includes four short double-helical elements and three loops (D, anti-codon, and T loops). Lineage: Bacteria; Pseudomonadati; Pseudomonadota; Gammaproteobacteria; Moraxellales; Moraxellaceae. The record is from RNAcentral.